This 562-nucleotide long non-coding RNA is filed under the name Brassica napus (rape). RNAcentral describes it as "long non-coding RNA (BNAP_LNC009019)". The record is from RNAcentral. Lineage: Eukaryota; Viridiplantae; Streptophyta; Magnoliopsida; Brassicales; Brassicaceae.
UCAGAUUAUAUAGAUUAGAUACAAACUGUAUAUUUGUUCUCAGAUAUGGAUCUUUUGGAAACGCUAAAUGAGGUAUAAAAAAUCUUGGGUGAGAGAAAAUUGUUAAAGAUCUAAGUAUCUAACUAACGUAUUUAUCUUUGGUCUGACGACUAGCUAAACAUAAAAUCUGGUACGGGAGACGUCAAAAAAAUGCCGUCCACGUGCUUCAUAGGUUAUGUAUCUGUUGAAAGGCUACUAUUUCUGAAAUAGUGAAUGGAACGAGUUGGGGUAUUACAGAAAGCGAAAACCGCUCUUUGCAACCUCUAAUAGCAAAACUACUUGAUCAGGUCUCUAUUAUAUAUGAGGAAGAACAGGAAUAGCUCCCUUUUCAUUUUUGGGUUUCAUGCCAAGUUCUUUUGCUGAGUUUGAGUCUUGAGCUGUGACAGAGGUUUUUCUGAUCCGCAAGUGACUUUGUGUGAAGGUUGAUUGUUUCACCACUAACUAUUGGUCACGUGCUGCUGAAAAUAGGGUUUCACCGUAUUUAAUUUGUUUCGGAUUUAACUUUUGGUUUAUUUAUGUUACA